CGUGGGGAGGGGACGGGGGGGGGCGAGUUGGCAUGUUCGGUUGCUGUUGUGUAGCCGCCGCCAGUGGCUUCCCAACAGGAAUGCGGCGAGGUUAGUGCAUGCGUGGGGCUUCUGGCUGUGUGGUUGGAGCGGGGAUCCGAGGCGCUGGUGGAAUAAAAGCCAGGAGCGACGGGAGAGAGAUGCUGAUGGGCUGCCGGCUAAUCAAAGGAUACUAAAGCCGAGUGCAGUUCCUGUGUAGAAACUGAGGACAGAAAAAGACCCAUCUGGCUACUCCCUGCUCAUCACUGUGUUUUUUCUAACUCCGUUUGAGUGGCUGGUUCCCUGCUGUCAUUUUGUGCUACCCAUUCUGGACUUGGGAAUCAUCUCUCCUGAACACAUACUUGGUAAGGCCCAAAGAAAGGACCGCUCUUCCCUUUUCUGCAGGGAGCUUCUACCUAAUCCCAUAAAUUGUAAACCACAAUAUA
Molecule: long non-coding RNA, 464 nt
Filed under: Calidris pugnax (ruff)
Lineage: Eukaryota; Metazoa; Chordata; Aves; Charadriiformes; Scolopacidae
Description: lncRNA (ENSCPUG00000016900.1)
Source: RNAcentral